This is a long non-coding RNA of Panicum virgatum (switchgrass), 1609 nucleotides long. RefSeq lists it as uncharacterized. The record is from RefSeq and is a predicted model, not a curated record. NCBI's taxonomy places the organism in Eukaryota, Viridiplantae, Streptophyta, Magnoliopsida, Poales, Poaceae. The transcript has 7 exons.
UAGAUUGGACGCUGGCGGCGACAGUCUCCCUCUGGGGAAGCCAGGGAAGAUGGGGCUGCGGUGAUUGGCUGAUCAUCGUCUUCGGGCAUGGUGGUGGUGGCGCCGGGUGAGGGAAGCUCUGCCCGACGGCUGGCUGUGGAGUUGGCGCAGGGAAGGGUUUUGUUAGGGUUUUGCGGUGGGCUGAGGGAAGGCGCAAGAUCAAAGGCAACUGAUACCAAGAUGUUGGUACAUAUAGAUGAAUAGCACGGUAGCAGGGUAACAAACCCUAGUUCGCCCUCCCUUGGAGGCUCUGAACUCUUUGAGGUUUAUUAUCUGCUUAAUUGUCUCAUGCGUCAGCUCCCUCUUUAUAUAGAGCCGGCCCUAACAAACCAAACUAACAAUUCUGAAUAAUACAAAUUACAGCAAAUAAAACAUAAAUGUGCCUAGCCACUAGUAGAAGCCGCCUUCUUGUUACGUCGCUGGAACUUGUGACCGAAGAAUCGGUCCACAACACCUUUCUGCCAAAAGGAGGUCACUGCAUGUGGGGAGAGAUGUGACUUACAUGUUGCUAAAUUUUUCUGAUUAAUUUUGUGAAUGAUUUUGUUUGUUUGGUUGAAACAAGGUAGCAACUGGGAAGUUUUCCCCAUGGAGAUCCAGAAUUUCUAAUCAUUUCUCCGCUUGUUUUAACAGUGUGGAAGUUGGCAGCUAUGUAAUAACCGGUGAUAUCUUCAAGGAAGUGGGUAGUAAUAAACGUUUAAGGUCAGGAUCUUCUGGUAGGCCAAUAUCUAAAGCUUGUAGGGAAAAAAUGAGAAGGGCCAAGCUCAGUGACAGCUGCACUAGAAGUUCCAGUAAAAUUGGCUGGAACGUAAAUUCAGGAGCCCUUUUCAUUUUGGCUGUCAUAUUUGCUUCCAAAGUCACAGCAAUAUGUCUCUCUAUUAGAAGGCAACAACGAGGUUAGCAUGACGCUGAACAUCUCGACGGACAUUUCAUCUCUGUUCACGUGGAACACAAAACAAGUGUUUGUCUUUGUGGUGGCUGAGUAUGAAACUCCCCAAAUUUCUUUGAAUCAAGUUUCCCUUUGGAUGGAAUUAUACCUGCAAAAGAGCAUACCAAGUUUUUAUCCAUACCACAAACAGGUACAGAUUUAUUGACCAGGCAAGCACAUUACUUAGAUUGAAUGCCGAUUUAAUGUAAUUAUGAAAUUUUAUCACUGUGACUGGGUGAUGCAUUUUGAUAUGAUUAAAGAGGGAGGGCGAGGGACAGGGAGGAAGAAGAGGGUCUGGUUUUUCCAUAGUUUAGUAAAAUGAGAGAGAAGACAAGUAGAGCAACUAUGAGAAAGGAUAUAGAAAGGUGACGAGAUUAUGUUUGAAUCCUUUAUGGCCGUGGUUGUACGGCGUGAGGAGAGGCGACGCGGCGGCGAGCGAGGGGCCGCUGUGCGAGGAGGGCCGUGGCGGCGCUGGGGAGGAGUGGACCUUUGGGUGCGAGGAGUCUGACAAGGACGGCAAGGAUUUCAGCGCCAUGGACGUUCGCUUGGGCGGCCGAUGCAUCAGGUAUUGGUGUCAUGAGGAAUAGAGAGAUGAGAAGCUGCAGGGCGCUGGUUUGCUUGCUCGGUUGUGAUAGAAGCAAAGGA